RNAcentral lists this small RNA (77 nucleotides) under Mesoflavibacter zeaxanthinifaciens subsp. sabulilitoris. RNAcentral describes it as "Flavo-1 RNA". It matches the Rfam family "Flavo-1 RNA". The record is from RNAcentral. Lineage: Bacteria; Pseudomonadati; Bacteroidota; Flavobacteriia; Flavobacteriales; Flavobacteriaceae.
UUUUUGCGUUAGUGAUAGAAACGACAUCCUUUUUUGUUUUAAAAACAAAAAAGAUAUAGUGGAUAGCACGACCCUUU